RNAcentral lists this ribosomal RNA (253 nucleotides) under uncultured bacterium. Its description in RNAcentral is "partial 16S ribosomal RNA". It matches the Rfam family "Bacterial small subunit ribosomal RNA", at positions 524 to 776 of the family's 1533-position model. The record is from RNAcentral.
UACGUAGGGUGCAAGCGUUGUCCGGAUUUAUUGGGCGUAAAGAGCUCGUAGGCGGUCUGUCGCGUCGGAUGUGAAAACCCAGGGCUCAACCCUGGGCCUGCAUUCGAUACGGGCAGACUAGAGUGUGGCAGGGGAGACUGGAAUUCCUGGUGUAGCGGUGAAAUGCGCAGAUAUCAGGAGGAACACCGGUGGCGAAGGCGGGUCUCUGGGCCAAUACUGACGCUGAGGAGUGAAAGCGUGGGGAGCAAACAGG